UUGAGCUGCAGUGUAUCCAAAUUUGGUAACUUAAUCACAAAGGUACGCAAAAUCACUUUGAAUGUGAGGUCAUCUCGUACUGUGUGUUUCGGGAUCAUUUUGCCUAAAUGAAUGUAGAGUCAAUGUUCUCUCCAACGUUUACCUAACGUUCUCUCUCGUCUCAUCUCAAGCCUUGCUCACUUUUUUCUUUUCUGCUAUUGUAUUCUACUAAAACAUUGUCCAAGUAGUCUGCAGAUACACUUGACCACGUCUCAUGGCUCCAAGCCCGCUUUCAGUUUGACAUUGUUUUGACAUAAUUUAUGACCAUGAUAGCUACAGUGCGGUCAGAACGCCCACUUCAUAUCAAGAGUAUAUGAUUGGCUUUCGCACUUUUGGAUGACGUAAGGCCGUUUAUUUUGAGACAGUUGCUACUCCCUCCUGUUGUGUGAAGUCUCCUGUUGUCUCUAGUCUCAAUUUGCAUUCGCUCACAAGCAGCUUUGAACAAGACCAUUUACAACUGUUAUCGCCAUGCGUGUGAUCAAGUUCUUGAUUUUGUUUGCUCUACUUCUUUGUUUAAUGGAGCCAUGUCUGGUGGUAGCACGAGGCGGAAGGACCGGUUGCGGGGCUUUCAUAAGAUGCAAGAGAGAAGUUGAAAAGGAAGUACAUCAGGCCAACACCAGGAUUAAACGAUCGCUGUUUUCGACGCUGAAGAAAAAACGAACACUCGCUGCACCACCCCAAGGCAAAAUGGUAGACGAGACAAUUCGAUUAAAGUGAGUUCAUGGUGAUGUAAAUUUACAUCACGCUAGCAGCAGCCGGUUAUGCUUCAUCUCAUUUGGAUCACUGGAUGAAAUAGACUAGAUGACUAUAUACAAUUUUCAUUUUUUUUUUUUAUUAAAAGUGAUCCGAUUGUUGUUGUAAACAGAUUGUCAAAUAAUAGCUUAGGAGAUAGCAAUGGUGUCAAAAAAAGUGUAAAAUUUGUGGUGGUUCCAUUAUCUGAAGUUUCUGUCUUGAUCCCGGGGCAUUCAAUAACUUGCUGACGCGUAUACUAAGUAAUUUAGAGAUCUGUCAUUGAAGUCUAUUACACUGUCAAAUCACGCCA
This 1081-nucleotide long non-coding RNA is filed under the name Orbicella faveolata. Its description in RNAcentral is "uncharacterized LOC110069537". The record is from RNAcentral. Lineage: Eukaryota; Metazoa; Cnidaria; Anthozoa; Scleractinia; Merulinidae.